GACGAACGCUGGCGGCGUGCUUAACACAUGCAAGUCGAACGGAAAGGCCCUGCUUGCCGGGUACUCGAGUGGCGAACGGGUGAGUAACACGUGGGUGAUCUGCCCUGCACUUCGGGAUAAGCCUGGGAAACUGGGUCUAAUACCGGAUAGGAGCCAUUUUUAGUGUGAUGGUUGGAAAGUUUUUUCGGUGUAGGAUGAGCUCGCGGCCUAUCAGCUUGUUGGUGGGGUAAUGGCCUACCAAGGCGGCGACGGGUAGCCGGCCUGAGAGGGUGGACGGCCACAUUGGGACUGAGAUACGGCCCAGACUCCUACGGGAGGCAGCAGUGGGGAAUAUUGCACAAUGGGCGCAAGCCGGAUGCAGCGACGCCGCGGGGGGGAGGACGGCCUUCGGGUUGUAAACGCCUUUCGCUAGGGACGAAGCUUUUUGUGACGGUACCUAGAGAAGAAGCACCGGCUAACUACGUG
This 465-nucleotide ribosomal RNA is filed under the name uncultured bacterium. RNAcentral's name for it is "partial 16S ribosomal RNA". It matches the Rfam family "Bacterial small subunit ribosomal RNA", at positions 28 to 507 of the family's 1533-position model. The record is from RNAcentral.